Molecule: transfer RNA, 74 nt
Filed under: Phaeocystis globosa
Lineage: Eukaryota; Haptophyta; Phaeocystales; Phaeocystaceae
Description: tRNA-Met
Rfam family: tRNA
About the family: Transfer RNA (tRNA) molecules are approximately 80 nucleotides in length. Their secondary structure includes four short double-helical elements and three loops (D, anti-codon, and T loops). Further hydrogen bonds mediate the characteristic L-shaped molecular structure. tRNAs have two regions of fundamental functional importance: the anti-codon, which is responsible for specific mRNA codon recognition, and the 3' end, to which the tRNAs corresponding amino acid is attached (by aminoacyl-tRNA synthetases). tRNAs cope with the degeneracy of the genetic code in two manners: having more than one tRNA (with a specific anti-codon) for a particular amino acid; and 'wobble' base-pairing, i.e. permitting non-standard base-pairing at the 3rd anti-codon position.
Source: RNAcentral
AGUCUUGUAGUUUAACCGGUAAAAACAUGAAGCUCAUAACUUUAAGAUUAAAGGUUCAAUUCCUUUCAAGCCUA